UACGAGGGGGGCAAGCGUUGUUCGGAAUUAUUGGGCGUAAAGGGCGCGUAGGCGGUCUGAUAAGUCUUGUGUGAAAUCUCCCGGCUCAACCGGGAGGGUGCGCCGAAAACUGGGGGGCUAGAGUGCGGGAUGGGUAAGUGGAAUUCCUGGUGUAGCGGUGAAAUGCGUAGAUAUCAGGAGGAACACCGGUGGCGAAGGCAGGUCUCUGGGCAGUAACUGACGCUGAGGAGCGAAAGCGUGGGGAGCGAACAGG
RNAcentral lists this ribosomal RNA (253 nucleotides) under uncultured bacterium. RNAcentral's name for it is "partial 16S ribosomal RNA". It matches the Rfam family "Bacterial small subunit ribosomal RNA", at positions 524 to 776 of the family's 1533-position model. The record is from RNAcentral.